This 478-nucleotide ribosomal RNA is filed under the name uncultured bacterium. Its description in RNAcentral is "bacterial SSU rRNA". It matches the Rfam family "Bacterial small subunit ribosomal RNA", at positions 28 to 498 of the family's 1533-position model. The record is from RNAcentral.
GAUGAACGCUAGCGGCAGGCCUAAUACAUGCAAGUCGAGGGGCAGCACGAGUACUUGUACUUGGUGGCGACCGGCGCACGGGUGCGUAACGCGUAUGCAACCUACCUUACACUGGGGGAUAGCCCGGAGAAAUUCGGAUUAAUACCCCAUGGUCAUGAUUCACUGCAUGGUGGAUGAUGUAAAGAUUUAUUGGUGUAAGAUGGGCAUGCGUCCCAUUAGCUAGUUGGUGAGGUAAGGGCUCACCAAGGCGACGAUGGGUAGGGGUUCUGAGAGGAAGAUCCCCCACACUGGCACUGAGAUACGGGCCAGACUCCUACGGGAGCAGCAGUAGGGAAUAUUGGUCAAUGGGCGCAAGCCUGAACCAGCCCAUGCCGCGUGCAGGAAGACGGCCUUUCUGGGUUUGUAAAACUGCUUUUAUACGGGGAAGAAAGAGCUCAUGCGUGAGCAGUUGCCGGUACCGUAUGAAUAAGCACCGGCU